RNAcentral lists this long non-coding RNA (409 nucleotides) under Mytilus galloprovincialis (Mediterranean mussel). The record is from RNAcentral. Lineage: Eukaryota; Metazoa; Mollusca; Bivalvia; Mytilida; Mytilidae.
GAAUAUUGUGUCCAAAUGUUUUUUUUUUUUUUUUUUUUUUUUUUUUUUUUUUUUUUUUUUUUUUUUUUUUUUUUUUUUUUUUUUUUUUUUUUUUUUUUUUUUUUUUUUUUUUUUUUUUUUUUUUUUUUUUUUUUUUUUUUUUUUUUUUUUUUUUUUUUUUUUUUUUUUUUUUUUUUUUUUUUUUUUUUUUUUAUUUUUUUUUUUUUUUUUUUUUUUUUUUUUUUUUUUUUUUUUUUUUUUUUUUUUUUUUUUUUUUUUUUUUUUUUUUUUUUUUUUUUUUUUUUUUUUUUUUUUUUUUUUUUUUUUUUUUUUUUUUUUUCUUUUUUUUUUUUUUUUUUUUUUUUUUUUUUUUUUUUUUUUUUUUUUUUUUUUUUUUUUUUUUUUUUUUUUUUUUUUUUUUUUUUUUUUU